Molecule: long non-coding RNA, 2225 nt
Organism: Scophthalmus maximus (turbot)
Lineage: Eukaryota; Metazoa; Chordata; Actinopteri; Pleuronectiformes; Scophthalmidae
Source: Ensembl
AUGCCCCGCCAGCCCACCCUCCCACAAGCACCCCCUGUUGGGAUAUUGGCAAGUUGUCAUGACGACAGGGAUGUUCUGCUGAUGAAGUCUCGCUCAGCGCUGUCCAAUCAGAUCGUGGAGCUACAACCGCAGCGUGAACAGGGGAGGACGCACCUAUUCCAGUUGCACAAUGCUGAGAAAGGACAGGCGAAACCCAGGACCACCAACGGGAAAUUGGCAAUCCGAGGGACGCUGUCAAUGGGCCGCCAUGGUUCGACAAUACACAGACAGCGGGGGUCGUGGAUUCAGGGGCUGCCAGGAUACAAAGCGAUGCGUCGAUGGCCAGCCAUGGGAAAAAGCUGUCGGCAAGGUGGCUCAGCUGGCAGUGCCCAGGGCUCCCAUGGGGCAGAGAGUUGCCUGAAGUGGAGAGUUGAGGACGCUGAAGGAUGACGGGACAGCUGGAGAAGUGGAGGACUCUUCACUCUGAUCAGACACAAUGGACCAAGGUCAACAGUUAGAGACUCCUCUCUUUCCCCAUUUGUUCAAUCACCAAGCCCCCAUAGGACUCAUUGCAAGUUUUGUUUUGUAUGUUUGUUUUUUUAGUGUGUAUACUACUAAGUGCCACUUUUAAGCUCACUCCAACUGUUUAUGUUAUUUUGUGCAUUUACAUGUUUUACUUUCAUUGAUUCCACAGUACUCUUAUCCUCAUGCCAGUGGUUGCUAACAAACCUCAGGCCUGUCAGGCUUAGCGCAACAAGGAUUGUUGACAGAGAUUCUACUGCCACUCCCAGCUGUGUAGGAGGUCAACACUUCAACAUGUCGGCCCCUGCAAAUGAGGUUUUGAGGAUUGACAUGCAUUGAUGCCUGGAUGGAUGUGACUGGGUGGAUGCUGUGGAGUUUGUAGAGGGUGAGGGAGUGUGUUUAGAAGGAGAAGGAGAGAGUUGUGGUUUGGCCCAACGUGUUUCUGUUUCCGUAGCUGCUGUCACUCUUCACAUCAACCGACCAGAAGAAGCAUCGUUGCCAGUUGGCUGGCGAUCUGACGUUUUAUUUUUCUGUGUUCAAAUUAAAAUACUCACAAAAUACAUUGACAAGCUUUUCAGAAGAAUUAAGGAAGACUUCAUGCACACUACUUGAUAUCAGUAAUUACAAAUACACCACAGAUGCACGUAUAGGGCAAAUCAGUGAGCAGGAAAUAAUGAUCAUGCCUGUGAGGCUGCGUGGUUUCCAUCAAAGCCACUGUCCUCAUGGAGCGCACGUGUGUGUCAGGCAUCAUCUGCUGUGGAUUACUGUGGUCUGGGAAUGUCUGUGGUUUGAUCUGGCCCCCACCAUUUUGUCACCACAUGUCGCCCGUUAUACCCCUUUGAAUAUUGUUUGUGAUGUGUUCUGUAUGGUCUGCAUAACUCACCAUUUUAUGAAUUCACGUUUACUCUGAACCGUUUCUUUCGGCCUAGCUCUCUGCCCCUGAUGGAACCUCCAAUAUUUCAUGACCAAAACAUGUGACCUGCCACACUACAGGCUUGCAACAAUCAGAGAUCUGAAUCCACAUGAAGAUGAAAGAAUAAACCUGGUGAAGGCUGUGCUCAAUACCAGUGUCCUGAAAUGGUCUUCUAUUUUGGCUUUGAAGUAUCCAUUACUUACCAUGGGAAAACAGUGCAUUGAUGGUGAAGGUGCAAAACAGUGCAUGGCCUUUCCCCCCACUUCUUUCCCACCUCUUGUCUUUUAUUUCCUCAGUUAGUUUCUCUCUAACAGCCUCUAUCUACCCUUUCCCCCAUCCUCCCUCCCUCACCACCCCCUGACUCUACCCUUCCUUCCACCUCUCUCUAAGCUGGUUGGAGAAGCAUUCCUCAUUCCUUGAAUGCACACAGAAAUACUUGGUGCUCUGGCAUCAGCACUUCUUAAAAAGGGCUGCUGCCACCAAUGUUACAGCUGGAGCUUCAGCAACCCCCAACACACACACAGACACACACACAAACACACACCUAAAUCCUUUAGAGAGGAGACAUGAGGGUGGGAGGAAAAUCCGCUAAAUCAGCCAAACUCAGGAAUGUAUUUUCAUUAAAACAAGUUUGUUUGAAGGGAUUGAGAAGGUGGAGGAGAGAGCUGGAGUAUCAGAAGUGAUCAGACCCAAUGGCGCAGCGGCUGCACACUGCCAAGUAUUAGAGAAGCAGAGAAUAAGUAUACAUUACAUGUGGUGUAGACACAUACAAUUUGCAGGCAUGAGAAUUUAUUUAGCUGUAGGACUUUUA